Molecule: ribosomal RNA, 497 nt
Filed under: uncultured bacterium
Lineage: Bacteria
Description: partial 16S ribosomal RNA
Rfam family: Bacterial small subunit ribosomal RNA
Source: RNAcentral
GAUGAACGCUGGCGGCGUGCCUAAUACAUGCGAGUCGAGCGAACAGAUAAGGAGCUUGCUCCUUUGACGUUAGCGGCGGACGGGUGAGUAACACGUGGGUAACCUACCUAUAAGACUGGAAUAACUCCGGGAAACCGGGGCUAAUGCCGGAUAACAUUUAGAACCGCAUGGUUCUAAAGUGAAAGAUGGUUUUGCUAUCACUUAUAGAUGGACCCGCGCCGUAUUAGCUAGUUGGUAAGGUAACGGCUUACCAAGGCAACGAUACGUAGCCGACCUGAGAGGGUGAUCGGCCCACCUGGAACUGAGACACGGUCCAGACUCCUACGGGAGGCAGCAGUAGGGAAUCUUCCGCAAUGGGCGAAAGCCUGACGGAGCAACGCCGCGUGAGUGAUGAAGGUCUUCGGAUCGUAAAACUCUGUUAUUAGGGAAGAACAAAUGUGUAAGUAACUGUGCACGUCUUGACGGUACCUAAUCAGAAAGCCACGGCUAACUACGUG